RNAcentral lists this ribosomal RNA (305 nucleotides) under uncultured bacterium. RNAcentral's name for it is "bacterial SSU rRNA". It matches the Rfam family "Bacterial small subunit ribosomal RNA", at positions 337 to 639 of the family's 1533-position model. The record is from RNAcentral.
GCCUACGGGGCGCAGCAGUGAGGAAUGUUGGUCAAUGGGCGAGAGCCUGAACCAGCCAAGUCGCGUGAAGGAUGACGGCCCUACGGGUUGUAAACUUCUUUUGUCAGGGAGCAAUUGGGUCCACGUGUGGGCUUAGCGAGAGUACCUGAAGAAAAAGCAUCGGCUAACUCCGUGCCAGCAGCCGCGGUAAUACGGAGGAUGCGAGCGUUAUCCGGAUUUAUUGGGUUUAAAGGGUGCGUAGGCGGAAUAUCAAGUCAGCGGUAAAAAUUCGGGGCUCAACCCCGUCAUGCCGUUGAAACUGAUGU